CCUACGGGUGGCAGCAGUGGGGAAUAUUGGACAAUGGGGGCAACCCUGAUCCAGCCAUGCCGCGUGUGUGAAGAAGGCCCUCGGGUUGUAAAGCACUUUCAGUGAGGAAGAACGCCUGGUGGUUAAUACCCAUCAGGAAAGACAUCACUCACAGAAGAAGCACCGGCUAACUCCGUGCCAGCAGCCGCGGUAAUACGGAGGGUGCGAGCGUUAAUCGGAAUUACUGGGCGUAAAGCGCGCGUAGGUGGCUUGAUAAGCCGGUUGUGAAAGCCCCGGGCUCAACCUGGGAACGGCAUCCGGAACUGUCAAGCUAGAGUGUAGGAGAGGAAGGUAGAAUUCCCGGUGUAGCGGUGAAAUGCGUAGAGAUCGGGAGGAAUACCAGUGGCGAAGGCGGCCUUCUGGACUGACACUGACACUGAGGUGCGAAAGCGUGGGUAGCAAACAGGAUUAGAUACCCUGGUAGUC
Molecule: ribosomal RNA, 465 nt
Filed under: Vreelandella stevensii
Lineage: Bacteria; Pseudomonadati; Pseudomonadota; Gammaproteobacteria; Oceanospirillales; Halomonadaceae
Description: partial 16S ribosomal RNA
Rfam family: Bacterial small subunit ribosomal RNA
Source: RNAcentral